AGAAAUUCGAUUCCGUAAGUAGCGGCGAGCGAACGCGGAUUAGCCCAAACCAAUAAAGUUUUCUUUAUUGGGGUUGCGGACAUAUCAUAACGAAGAGGUAUCGUAAUUGAAGAGGUUUGGAAAGACCCACCACAGAAGGUAAUAGUCCUGUAUGUUAAACGAGAAGACUUCAGAUAUGAUCCAGAGUACCACGGGACACGUGAAACCCUGUGGGAAGCAGGAGGGACCACCCUCCAAGGCUAAAUACUACCUAGUGACCGAUAGCGUAUAGUACCGUGAGGGAAAGGUGAAAAGAACCCCGGGAGGGGAGUGAAAUAGAACCUGAAACCCUGCACUUACAAGCUGUGGAAGCACAUUUCUUGUGUGACCGCGUACUUUUUGUAGAACGGGCCAACGAGUUACGUUAAGUAGCAAGGUUAAGCACUUAAGGUGUGGAGCCGUAGCGAAAGCGAGUUUUAACUGAGCGUUCAGUUACUUGACGUAGACCCGAAACCGGGCGACCUACCCAUGAGCAGGAUGAAGCGAAAGUAAAAUUUCGUGGAGGUCCGAACCCACGAGCGUUGAAAAGCUCGGGGAUGACUUGUGGGUAGCGGUGAAAUUCCAAUCGAGCCCGGAGAUAGCUGGUUCU
This 628-nucleotide ribosomal RNA is filed under the name Clostridioides difficile. RNAcentral's name for it is "bacterial LSU rRNA". It matches the Rfam family "Bacterial large subunit ribosomal RNA", at positions 224 to 856 of the family's 2925-position model. Lineage: Bacteria; Bacillati; Bacillota; Clostridia; Peptostreptococcales; Peptostreptococcaceae. The record is from RNAcentral.